This 453-nucleotide ribosomal RNA is filed under the name uncultured organism. Its description in RNAcentral is "partial 16S ribosomal RNA". It matches the Rfam family "Bacterial small subunit ribosomal RNA", at positions 329 to 798 of the family's 1533-position model. The record is from RNAcentral.
ACGUACACUCCUACGGGAGGCAGCAGUGGGGAAUAUUGGACAAUGGGCGCAAGCCUGAUCCAGCCAUGCCGCGUGAGUGAUGAAGGCCCUAGGGUUGUAAAGCUCUUUUGUGCGGGAAGAUAAUGACGGUACCGCAAGAAUAAGCCCCGGCUAACUUCGUGCCAGCAGCCGCGGUAAUACGAAGGGGGCUAGCGUUGCUCGGAAUCACUGGGCGUAAAGGGUGCGUAGGCGGGUCUUUAAGUCAGGGGUGAAAUCCUGGAGCUCAACUCCAGAACUGCCUUUGAUACUGAAGAUCUUGAGUUCGGGAGAGGUGAGUGGAACUGCGAGUGUAGAGGUGAAAUUCGUAGAUAUUCGCAAGAACACCAGUGGCGAAGGCGGCUCACUGGCCCGAUACUGACGCUGAGGCACGAAAGCGUGGGGAGCAAACAGGAUUAGAAACCCGGGUAGUCCCAU